Molecule: ribosomal RNA, 484 nt
Filed under: uncultured bacterium
Lineage: Bacteria
Description: partial 16S ribosomal RNA
Rfam family: Bacterial small subunit ribosomal RNA
Source: RNAcentral
AGUGAACGCUGGCGGCGUGCUUAACACAUGCAAGUCGAACGAGAACGGAUUAUAGCUUGCUAUAAUUGUCAGCUAAGUGGCGCACGGGUGAGUAAUGUAUAGGUAAUAUGCCUCUUACUAAGGGAUAACAAAUGGAAACGUUUGCUAAUACCUUAUACUCCUUAUUAACAGAAGUUAAUAAGGGAAAGAUUUAUUGGUAAGAGAUUAGCCUGUAUUGUAUCAGUUAGUUGGUGGGGGUAUGGCUUACCAAGACUAUGACACAUAACUGGUUUGAGAGGAUGAUCAGUCACACUGGAACUGAGACACGGUCCAGACUCCUACGGGAGGCAGCAGUGGGGAAUAUUGCACAAUGGACGAAAGUCUGAUGCAGCAACGCCGCGUGGAGGAUGACACAUUUCGGUGCGUAAACUCCUUUUAUAUGAGAAGAUAAUGACGGUAUUAUAUGAAUAAGCACCGGCUAACUCCGUGCCAGCAGCCGCAGUAA